UCCAUCCCACCCUCAUCCUCACAAAUUCCUCCCUCACUUCCACCCUGAAUCUCUUUUUUCCCCUAAAACCAUCACCCCACCCUCCUCUCGCUCACAAGUGAGGCAUCAGGAAAUCCCCCUGGAGCAUUUUCUGAUUUUUGAUGCCUGAACUCCUCAAAGGUGGGGAAAGGUUUCACUGCAGGGCCAUGGGGAUCCCUCCUUCCCUCCCUUCACCUGCGCAGCAGCGGGUCCUGGUGUCCCAGCCGUGUCCCAGCCGUGUCCCAGCCGUGUCCCAGCCGUGUCCAGCAGGACAGAGGCAGCUCCGUGCCCCUCUGGACACUCUGGUGCUCCCCCCGGAGCUCCUGGAGCAGCUGGAAUCUCUGCAUUGCCUUUUUCAGUAAAUGCUGCUGCUGGGACGGGGCCUGGCUGCCUCUGGAGCACAUCCAGGGGCUCUGCCAGGGAAAUCCUGAACUUCCAACGGGAUCAAACCCCGGAGCAGGGAGCUGGCCCCAGCCCUGGGGGUUUGUGCCCCAAGCAAAGCGGGUGUGAGGCUCCUGAAGAGCACAGAGCUGUUCCCACGGCUUUGCGGGGCUGGGACAAUCCUGAUUUUCCUGUCUCCCCUUGCUGUGCACCCCAAAGAUGUGUUAUCCCUGGAAAUCUGCCCCAAGGGCUUCUCCCCUCUCCUGCCCCAGCACAGCCGGGCCCAGCAGGAAUAAAUUCCAUUACAGGAAUCCAAUCCACUGGGAUCCACCUCCCCUUCCCAGCUUCUCAUUCCCUGCCAGGGCCAGACCCUUCUUCCCACCCUGUCCAUGCCCAGGGGGAUGCUGAGCCCCCCCUGCACCUCCAGCCUGGCUGUUCCCGACCCUGCAGUGGAUCCAUCCCACCCUGGAGAACCGGGCAAAGCCAGGAGCGGGCAGUGCCAGCCCUUCCCAAGGAUCCAGCAGGAUCCAGGGGCUCCCUCCCAGCCCCUCUCCAUCCCCCUGCCCCGUGGGAUGGACAAAGAGAUCCUGCCCUGGGUCUGGACCAUGCCCGAGGAGGAUCCUGAGCCUCGUCAGGAUUCCUGGGAUGUCUGGUGUCCCCUCACAUCCCAACCCCUGCUGCCAGGACCACCCCCAGCCCGGGCAGGUCCCUGCUGGAGCAGCCUGUGGGUGAUGGGAAGGGCUCCAGCACCUCUCCCAAGCCGUGGAGAUGCCGUGGGGGAGCUCUCCCAAG
RNAcentral lists this long non-coding RNA (1191 nucleotides) under Lonchura striata (white-rumped munia). RNAcentral's name for it is "domestica (Bengalese finch) lncRNA (ENSLSDG00000014776.1)". Lineage: Eukaryota; Metazoa; Chordata; Aves; Passeriformes; Estrildidae. The record is from RNAcentral.